This 468-nucleotide ribosomal RNA is filed under the name uncultured bacterium. RNAcentral's name for it is "partial 16S ribosomal RNA". It matches the Rfam family "Bacterial small subunit ribosomal RNA", at positions 28 to 507 of the family's 1533-position model. The record is from RNAcentral.
GACGAACGCUGGCGGCGUGCUUAACACAUGCAAGUCGAACGGAAAGGCCCUGCUUUUGUGGGGUGCUCGAGUGGCGAACGGGUGAGUAACACGUGAGUAACCUGCCCUUGACUUUGGGAUAACUUCAGGAAGCUGGGGCUAAUACCGGAUAGGAGCUCCUGCUGCAUGGUGGGGGUUGGAAAGUUUCGGCGGUUGGGGAUGGACUCGCGGCUUAUCAGCUUGUUGGUGGGGUAGUGGCUUACCAAGGGUUUGACGGGUAGCCGGCCUGAGAGGGUGACCGGCCACAUUGGGACUGAGAUACGGCCCAGACUCCUACGGGAGGCAGCAGUGGGGAAUAUUGCACAAUGGGCGGAAGCCUGAUGCAGCAACGCCGCGUGCGGGAUGACGGCCUUCGGGUUGUAAACCGCUUUCGCCUGUGACGAAGCGUGAGUGACGGUAAUGGGUAAAGAAGCACCGGCUAACUACGUG